This 465-nucleotide ribosomal RNA is filed under the name uncultured bacterium. RNAcentral's name for it is "partial 16S ribosomal RNA". It matches the Rfam family "Bacterial small subunit ribosomal RNA", at positions 338 to 795 of the family's 1533-position model. The record is from RNAcentral.
CCUACGGGAGGCAGCAGUGGGGAAUAUUGCGCAAUGGGCGAAAGCCUGACGCAGCGACGCCGCGUGAGGGUUGAAGGUCUUCGGAUCGUAAACCUCUGUCAGCAGGGAAGAACGGUCACUGUGCUAAUCAGCAGUGAAUUGACGGUACCUGCAAAGGAAGCACCGGCUAACUCCGUGCCAGCAGCCGCGGUAAUACGGGGGGUGCGAGCGUUAAUCGGAAUUACUGGGCGUAAAGCGCUCGUAGGCGGUAUGUCAAGUCAAGGGGGAAAUCCCCGCGCUCAACGUGGGAACUGCCUUUGAAACUGGCAAACUGGAGUGUGUGAGAGGAUAGUGGAAUUCCAGGUGUAGGAGUGAAAUCCGUAGAUAUCUGGAGGAACAUCAGUGGCGAAGGCGACUAUCUGGCACAUAACUGACGCUGAGGAGCGAAAGCGUGGGUAGCAAACAGGAUUAGAUACCCCUGUAGUC